This is a long non-coding RNA of Oreochromis aureus, 876 nucleotides long. RefSeq lists it as uncharacterized. Lineage: Eukaryota; Metazoa; Chordata; Actinopteri; Cichliformes; Cichlidae. The record is from RefSeq and is a predicted model, not a curated record. The transcript has 3 exons.
GGGAGGCAAGAGGAGAGACCCGAAGCGGCCGCCGGUCCGCGUGUCAGGUGAACUGAACUUCAGCAGGUUUGAUGUGACUCAGAGGAUCAGUUUGAUCAGCAGGUGUUUGAUCUUUUUCCGCCCAGUGGAAGCUUUUAAUAUCUAAAGAGGUGAAGUUGGAAGAGGCGAUUCAUUCUGAUAAAUGGCUUGAAAUGGUGCCGGAUCAUGGCCAUCUAUGGACCCGGUGUUAAGUGGCACAGUGGUUCAGAGGCUGAACUUUGAACGACAUGAUGACACAGCUCUGAGACCUGCUGCCUGCAGGACACAAAUCAUCUGUGGAGAUUCUGAGGUCAGCGAAAUAAAAAUGGAGAGUGGGUGAUGUUCCUGAAUAAAGAUAAAACAUCCACACUUUCAUAUGUAUUAUAGAAGAGGAUGAUCACAGCAGCAACAGCUUCACCAAAUGCAGAAAAUUACAGUAUUUAUUGGAACUUCAAUAGACAUGAAUACAUUUUUUCCUUGUUCCUUUGAGGCAUCAGUGCUGAACUGCUCACAACAUGCUGCUCUUUUUCCCUGUUACUGAUGUGUAAUGUAGCUGUUUGUAGGUAACUGUUGAAAACCUCAGAUCACAUUUAAAUCACUUCAAAUUUAUACUGACAUGUUUUAAAUUUGUUCAUGAAUGCCUCGUCAAAGGGGUCAAAGGUCAUCAGCCAGGCUGGUCAGACACAGAUGGAGACUGUUUGCAUUUAACAUCUGAGGCCAUCCUUGAGCAGAGAUCCAGGUCACAAUCAAACUCCAUAACAUGUGACUCACAGACAAGAAAUCACCAAAUCACCAUGACGACAAGUGGCCGAUCUGUGCUUUUCAACAUCUGAGCAUGAAGUAAAAAUAUUCUGAUCA